This 428-nucleotide ribosomal RNA is filed under the name Stephanitis pyri. Its description in RNAcentral is "partial 16S ribosomal RNA". Lineage: Eukaryota; Metazoa; Arthropoda; Insecta; Hemiptera; Tingidae. The record is from RNAcentral.
UUCUUUUUGGAUUUUUAAAAAGUAAAACCUGCUCAAUGAUUUUUUAAAUAGCCGCGUUAUAAUCGUGCUAAGGUAGCAUAAUAAUUUGUCUUUUAAUUAAGGUCUAGUAUGAAUGGUUAAACGAAAAAUUAACUUUUUUAAUUAAAUUAAUUUUAAUUUUAUUUUUUAGUUAAAAAGCUAAAAUAAAAUUAUAGGACGAUAAGACCCUAUAGAAUUUUAUUUAAAAAAUUUAUAUUAUUUUUAUUUUGAAUAUAAUAUAAAUUUUAUAAAUUUGGUUGGGGUGACUUUUAUAUAUUUUUAACUAUAAUAUGAUAUUUUUCAUAAAUUAAUGAAUUAAUGAUCCUUAAUUUAAGAUUAAUAGAAAAAAUUACCUUAGGGAUAACAGCGUAAUUUUCUUGGAGAGUUCUUAUUAAUAAGAAAGUUUGCGA